CCGGACGCCCGCCCCGAGCUGGCCCGCUGCGCGCGGAGGCGGCCCUCCCGCCGAGAGCCUCCCCUGCUCAGCCUGUAGGCCGGCCGGCAAGGGCAGCGGGCCUGGAGACGCCGCCUGCCGGCUCCCGGGAGGGUGGGCCUUCUCUCCGGACAAGGGCAGCCUGUCCAGGACUAAGCAGAACCUGUUACAGAGCCCGCGGCUGGCGCCCCGGCCGCGCCCGCCCGGCAGCCCACGUGCGGCCCAAGAGCUGGUACGUCGGGAAAACGGCCCCAAACGAAGGGGGCACCCAGCAGCCCUUCGGGAGUUGAGAAGAUCCACUUAAACGGCAGAGGACGCUCUGACGGCCUUUGUUUAAAACUCGGGGUUGGGGUGGAAUUCGGGGUCUUAUAGCUCUCGCCCUGUCGUACAGGGCUGUCGAGAGUGUAGUGGAACGCAGAUGACACAGAUGGCGUGCGUGGUGUGGAAUACGACACAGACGACGCAUACUGUCGUGUCAUGGCAGCGAUGAGAGCACGCGACUCAGCCCCUGACAGAGGAUGAACCAGCAGCAGAGCCAGGCCCCCCGCCCCUGGGCGGUCUUUUCCCCCCACAUACCGUCUAGAUCAGGCCUGCUUGUCCCACCCCUGAAACCCCAGGACCGCCUGCUCCGGCCAAAGCUGACCUUCCCUGCCCCCUCCCUCUGCUCCCAGACAAAGAUGUUGGGGAAAUGACCUCGGGGGCCGAAAGGCACUUCACCCAUCCACCCUCCUCCUUGUCUCUCUAAUGGACUUUUUUUGGGGGGCGGGGGGGGUGUAGUUUUUGUUUUACAGAGACGCUGGGCGGAAAGUACAGAGCUCCCAUGUGCUUCCCCUGCGGAGCCUGCGGAGCCCAGGUUCCCUGUCACAAACACCCCGCACUGGGUGCUGCAUCUGUUCCAGCGAUGAGCACACAGGAUGAGCCCGUACUGAUGUGCUGCUGUGAGCAGAAGUCCACGGUUCCCCCUAGGGUGCAUCGUGGUGGUGCACAUUCUGUGGGUCUGGACAAACGCACAGUGACGUGUGUCCAGCAUUACAGCAUCACACAGCACGGGGGCGCUGCCCUGGAGCCCCCUGGGCCCGGCCUGUUCAUGUCCCUCCCCAACACUGACGUCUUACUGUGUCCGUAUUUUAUCCUAACCCUAGCUGGGAUCUGCCCUUCCCGGCGUGUCCCCUAGCCGGGAUCGCAGGGGUCUGCCCUUCCCGGCGUGUCCCCUAGCUGGGAUCACAGGGCUGCAGCCUCUCAGCGUGCUUCCUCUUUCAUCUGCACCAUCACCCCGCCCCAAAUUCCUCUUCAAACUCCUGUUUGGGAGGCUGCCCUCUCUCCUGUCCUUCCCCUCUGCCUCUUUCCCAUCUCUUUACCCUAUUCCGUCCUUCUCCCCAUUCCUGGAACAUCCUCAAAGAUUCAGAGGUUGGCUGGCGACCCCUCUGGUUCUCCAGACACACAGACAGGGGCAGUGUAUGCACCACAACGUGGCCACAGAACCAGCCUAGCUGGUGUGAGGCCACAGGGCCUAAGUUCUGCCCUGUCCAGCCCGGGACACAACACGCAGGAAGGCCCCCAAUACCACGCCCCGGGCAGGGACCAGGUUCAGGACAAACUUCUGAUUUCAGGGUCGGCAGCAGGUCAUCAGUGGUCAGGGAGACUUCCGGACCCAGGCACAGCCCUGUCACUCUGUGCUACGCCUCUGCCACGAACGGCCACACCUGCAGGUUCACUCUCAUUCCCCCUUCCCCUGCAAACCCCAGGGAAGAGGUGCUCCUCCUGUAGCUUGAAAAACUGUCCAGGCCCUCCACUGCUGGCCCCUGCUCCGCAGCUCCUCCCAGGGGAAGGCAGAGCAUGCAUGUGUCCUGCCCCGGACGUGGGCCGGUCCCUGUGCCUGGCCCUGGCCAACCAGCCCACGGGGUGGCCGCAGGCCCCGUGCCGGCACAGACUGCGGAAGGUCCUGCCGAGAGCACGGGGGCUGCUAAGCCCACGGGUGAGUCUUCACAGCAAAGCUCGGCGCUGCUGCACUGAGCGUGAGAGACGAGCACAGGGGCAGGUGGGGCAGCACAGGAACUACACACCUGGGCAGGCCCUGCCCGCAGGGCCUCCCGGCCACACAGGCUCUGCCUCUCCGAGUCAGCUCUCAACUUUUCUGUUUAAGUUUCUGUAGCGAUCCUGGUACGCGUGCGUCAACUGCAGUCCUGAGGGCGCAUGAAACGGACACCGGGUAAACUGGGGAAAAAUCCGUAGCUCCUCCAACACUCAAAGGUAGCUCAGGAGAGAGGGAGACGGAGGCCCCCACCAACCUUCAGUGACGUUUCUGCCCCAGAGCAAGGGCUCACCCGCAAGACAGCCCCAGACGGAGGGAGCAGCCCAAGCCCUGGUGCUCCGGAACCUGAGCCACCAGCCAGGCUGGAGACACUGUCACGAGGCACAGAAAGGGCCAGGGGGGCCCCUCGCUGGCAAAACACCCGUGAAAACUCCUCUUAGCCACGCCCGGUACGGACGCGCCCAACUCCGGCGGCAGACCCUGGGGCUGGCGGCAGGCCACGGCACCCGAGGCCCCGGGACAGCAGAGAACAGCCAACCCCUGCCACCAGCACCCCUCCCCAUGUCGCUCAUCCCAUGAUUCUCUGAGCUCGGAGCCAAAUGCUGGCCAGAAACACUAAGACAUGAUGUACUGUCCACAACUUAACAUCGAUUCAGAUAAAAUAACGAUUCCCGACGAUCAGCUCUGCAACCCGCUACAGAGACAACUCGGCCCUGGCCCAUCUCCUGCCCCGGCUCCUAAAAGGCCCAGAGGCGGCCAGGCCACGUGCACACAAGGCCCCCAGACGGAGGCGGCUGGAGACGAGGAACUGCCAGCCUCCUCGUGUGGUCUGAGCGAUCUCAGAAAGCUCGCGGCGCUUCCCCUCUGGCGAAGGAGUUUUCUGGAAGUCUGUUCUUAAGUUCCUGGAGUUAUCUGAUAACCGCCCCACAUGGUCUGCAGACCACACGGCCUUGAUCUCAACCUCAGCCGCCCUUUUGUGUAGAACUUGGCACCACGAUUCUAAAAGUCUGCGGAAGCAAAAAGCACCCAGAAAAGCCACCCCAACAGUCAUGCAUCGGGGCGGGCGGGGUGCUGCUUUCAGCUCGCCAGAACGCGGGGCGACCUGCACAGCGACCUGCAGUGCGCGCGCAGGUGCGCGCAGGCGCGGGGCAGAAGGUCCAGGAACCAACCCAGACACCUGCGGACGUGGCACUUCCGGCAAAGGCGCCGGCACAAUUCAAUGGGAAAUCAUUUCAGAAAGCGACGCUGCAGCAACUGCGUAAUCACGUACAAAAAAGCACGCUUCGAAACUUACCUCAGACCACACAUGGAAAUUAACCUGAACGAGACCACAAGUCUAAGCAUAAAAGCGAAAUUUGGAAAAGUUCUAGAGGAGACACGGGAGAAAACCUAUCUGCCCUAGGGUAUGACAAAGAUUGUUUAGAUUAUGGACUGUACCUUUGGGAACAUCAAAUAAGUAAUAAAUUGGACCUCAUCAAAAUUAAAAACUUUUCUGCUUCAGAAAACACUAAUAAGAAUAUAAGAGAAGGUGAAGGAGACUGAGAUACAGACUUCCAGUUGCAAAAUAAAUGAGUCAAGGGUAUAAAUGUACAGUGUGGGAAACAGUAAUUAUGUAACAUCUUUGUAUGGCAACAUAUCAUUACUAGAUUCAUUGAAAUGUAUAGAAAUACCAAAUCACUAUCUUGUAGAACAAGAACAUAGUUUUAUAGGUCAAUUAUACUUCAAAACAAACACUCAUAGAAAAAGAGAUCAUAUUCCUUACUAGAGGAAGUGCGGGUGUGAGGAGGGAAUUGGAUGAGGAGGUCAAAAGAUACAAACUUCCAGUUAGGGGAUACAUGUAUACCAGGGAUGUAAUGCACAGCAUGGUAAAAAUAAUUAGCACUGCUAUAUAUGGAACUUGUUAAGAGUAAAUCCUAAGAAUUCUCAUCACAACAAAAGUAAAAGUAUCUUUUUUUACAUAUCUUUAAUGUUGUAGCUAUGUGAGAUAACGAACUAUACUUAUCGUGGUCAGCAUUUCACGAUUACCUGAGUCUAAUCAUUACGCUGUACACCUUAAACUUACGAAGUGCUGCGUGUCAAUUAUAUCUUGAUAAAAGAGGGAGAAGAAAUGGAACAUAAGAGAAGUCAUUCACUAGGAAGACAAUUUUCAAAUCCUGUACGUGAUAAAGGAGUUGUAUCCAGCACACACACAGGACUUACCAACUGAAUGAGAAACACCAACGACCCAGUGGGGGAAAUGGUAGAGGAUCUGAACGGACACUUCAGCAAAAAAGCCCAACAUCACCGUCACCAGGGAAAUGCAGAUAAAGCCGCAGAGGUGCCCCCAGAGGCCCACAUUCCAGAACGGGGCAGGUCAGAGGCCUGGCGAUACCCAGGGUUGGUCAGGAUGGGGCAGGAACACCCACCGCGCAGCCCCUUUGGAAGGCAAUUUGACAGUCUCUUAACCAGCAAAAUGCACAUGUGCCAUAAAACCCAGCGAUUCCUCCUUAGGGCCGUCCCUAAGGUGAGUGAGGACACGGUCCUCUCGAGGACUCACAGGCGAAUGUGCUCAGCACGAGCACCCGUGAGCUCAAAGCCCGUGACAGGCCCAGGGUCCAGCAGACACAACACGAGGCCCCCCGCUCAGGGAGCAGUGCUCAGCAAGGAGACGCGGCACAGAAACACGCGCUUGAACUCGGGGAGCUUCAUGGGAUGAAGGACACGUGAACGCAGCUGGUAAAAGUCCGCCUGCUGUUGCAGAGGAGACCUCGGACUGCUAUGGACGUUGCUGAGAGCCCUGGCUGCCUCAGGGGGUGGCUAAGGCAGGAAAGGGUUUGUGCACAACUUUUAACGUCCUUGGAACCCUAAAUGGGAAGGCAUCGCAUCUCCAGAACUAAGUCAUCCGCUCUUGGCCAGCCAGAGGGACACCACAGCGCCGCCCUGGACGGUCUGCCGCCCCUCUGCACGGCCCGGUGACCUGCAGCGCCCUCCAGCACGCGACGCUGCCGACACCAGACCACCCCACUUCAAAGCGCACACGUGGCUGGCACACGGGGAACGGCACUUGCCAGCCACUCUGGGGCAGUUGGAGAAGCCCAGGUCACAGUGAGCCAGGACCUCCACCCAGGGCGGCAACAGAGCCCUGCAGCUGCAGGCCUGAGAGGACCCCUGUCAGCCACAGGCAGCCCCGCAAGUCCAAGGACCAGCAGCUGCCCCCCACCUCCUCAUGGAGACCACCCGCACCCACGUCCUCCUGGAGUCCCUGCACCCACCUCCUCGUGCGGCCCCUGGACCCUCCCCUCAGCCCCUGUCCUCUGUAUCCUGAGGAGCCCCGUUCUGUUGCCUCUGACCCCCGCCCGGGUGCCCAGCUGGGUGCUGGUGCCACCCCCAGAGCUCCACCAUCCUCUCCAGCAAGCGUCCUCCAGGGCCCCCUGCAUCCCUGCUCCUGGGGCCCCGGGGAUCCUCAGGGACCCGUGCACCACGCGUCCUCACGCUCCCUUCCAGCACGGCCUUGCAAAGGCGCUUCCUUCUUCCAGGACCACUGACGGGGCACCUGCAAGAGGCAAGGAGCAGGGCGGGCCCCGCCUCACCUCCCCGGGGCUGCAGUGCGCAGACAGGAAGCAGGCGGCUCCAGGGGACGAAGGGUGCACGGUGGGUGGUCAGGCUGGCAGGA
This is a long non-coding RNA of Physeter macrocephalus (sperm whale), 5702 nucleotides long. RefSeq lists it as uncharacterized. Lineage: Eukaryota; Metazoa; Chordata; Mammalia; Artiodactyla; Physeteridae. The transcript has 3 exons. The record is from RefSeq and is a predicted model, not a curated record.